RNAcentral lists this ribosomal RNA (170 nucleotides) under Pleosporales sp. Its description in RNAcentral is "partial small subunit ribosomal RNA". It matches the Rfam family "Eukaryotic small subunit ribosomal RNA", at positions 1352 to 1544 of the family's 1831-position model. The record is from RNAcentral. Lineage: Eukaryota; Fungi; Ascomycota; Dothideomycetes; Pleosporales.
UAAAUAGCUAGGCUAGCUUUAGCUAGUCGCUGGCUUCUUAGAGGGACUAUUAGCUUAAGCUAAUAGAAGUUAGAGGCAAUAAUAGGUCUAUAAUACCCUUAGAUAUUCUAGGCUGUAUAUAUACUAUACUAAUAGAGCCAACGAGUUCUUUCUCUUGGCUAGAAGGUCUA